GGAUAAGCCCUUACGGGGAAAGAUUUAUCGCCGAAAGAUCGGCCCGCGUCUGAUUAGCUAGUUGGUAGGGUAAUGGCCUACCAAGGCGACGAUCAGUAGCUGGUCUGAGAGGAUGAUCAGCCACAUUGGGACUGAGACACGGCCCAAACUCCUACGGGAGGCAGCAGUGGGGAAUAUUGGACAAUGGGGGCAACCCUGAUCCAGCCAUGCCGCGUGAGUGAUGAAGGCCCUAGGGUUGUAAAGCUCUUUUGUGCGGGAAGAUAAUGACGGUACCGCAAGAAUAAGCCCCGGCUAACUUCGUGCCAGCAGCCGCGGUAAUACGAAGGGGGCUAGCGUUGCUCGGAAUCACUGGGCGUAAAGGGUGCGUAGGCGGGUCUUUAAGUCAGGGGUGAAAUCCUGGAGCUCAACUCCAGAACUGCCUUUGAUACUGAAGAUCUUGAGUUCGGGAGAGGUGAGUGGAACUGCGAGUGUAGAGGUGAAAUUCGUAGAUAUUCGCAAGAACACCAGUGGCGAAGGCGGCUCACUGGCCCGAUACUGACGCUGAGGCACGAAAGCGUGGGGAGCAAACAGGAUUAGAUACCCUGGUAGUCCACG
RNAcentral lists this ribosomal RNA (594 nucleotides) under Bradyrhizobium sp. RNAcentral's name for it is "bacterial SSU rRNA". It matches the Rfam family "Bacterial small subunit ribosomal RNA", at positions 171 to 799 of the family's 1533-position model. Lineage: Bacteria; Pseudomonadati; Pseudomonadota; Alphaproteobacteria; Hyphomicrobiales; Nitrobacteraceae. The record is from RNAcentral.